Molecule: long non-coding RNA, 199 nt
Filed under: Chinchilla lanigera (long-tailed chinchilla)
Lineage: Eukaryota; Metazoa; Chordata; Mammalia; Rodentia; Chinchillidae
Description: Six3os1 conserved region 2 (ENSCLAG00000020414.1)
Rfam family: Six3os1 conserved region 2
Source: RNAcentral
GUGGGGGCUGGGUAAAAGGAGGGAGGGGAGAACUCCGCGCGCCCCAAGAGCGAAAGCAAACAGCUAGCUGUGGAGGCGCUGCCCGCAGCUCAAGCUUCCCAACAGGUUAGCUAGACGGGGAUCCACCUGGUAUUUCGAAGGAAGGGGGGGCAGAGGAGGAGAGAAUCGUACUAGGAGACAGAGGGAGGGCGGGAAAGCG